This 449-nucleotide ribosomal RNA is filed under the name uncultured bacterium. RNAcentral's name for it is "bacterial SSU rRNA". It matches the Rfam family "Bacterial small subunit ribosomal RNA", at positions 355 to 796 of the family's 1533-position model. The record is from RNAcentral.
UGGGGAAUCUUGCGCAAUGGGCGAAAGCCUGACGCAGCGACGCCGCGUGGAGGAUGAAGGUCUACGGAUUGUAAACUUCUGUUAAGUGGGAGGAAAUGUCGAUUAAUAAUACGAAUCGAAGCUGACUGUACCAUUAGAGAAAGCACCGGCUAAACUCGUGCCAGCAGCCGCGGUAAUACGAGUGGUGCAAGCGUUAUUCGGAAUCAUUGGGCGUAAAGGGUGUGUAGACGGCAUGCUAAGUCAAUUGUUAAAUUCACCGGCCUAACCGGUGGCUCGCAAUAGAUACUGGCGUGCUAGAGGGUGGAAGAGAGAAGUGGAAUUCUCGGAGUAGCGGUAAAAUGCGUAGAUCUCGAGAGGAACACCAAUGGCGAAGGCAGCUUCUUGGUCCAUUUCUGACGUUGAAACACGAAAGCGUGGGGAGCAAACAGGAUUAGAUACCCCCGUAGUCC